This 588-nucleotide ribosomal RNA is filed under the name Saccharomyces cerevisiae (brewer's yeast). Its description in RNAcentral is "eukaryotic LSU rRNA". It matches the Rfam family "Eukaryotic large subunit ribosomal RNA", at positions 66 to 669 of the family's 3401-position model. The record is from RNAcentral. Lineage: Eukaryota; Fungi; Ascomycota; Saccharomycetes; Saccharomycetales; Saccharomycetaceae.
CCCCGGGGGAUGCUUAGUACGGCGAGUGAAGCGGCAAAAGCUCAAAUUUGAAAUCUGGUACCUUCGGUGCCCGAGUUGUAAUUUGGAGAGGGCAACUUUGGGGCCGUUCCUUGUCUAUGUUCCUUGGAACAGGACGUCAUAGAGGGUGAGAAUCCCGUGUGGCGAGGAGUGCGGUUCUUUGUAAAGUGCCUUCGAAGAGUCGAGUUGUUUGGGAAUGCAGCUCUAAGUGGGUGGUAAAUUCCAUCUAAAGCUAAAUAUUGGCGAGAGACCGAUAGCGAACAAGUACAGUGAUGGAAAGAUGAAAAGAACUUUGAAAAGAGAGUGAAAAAGUACGUGAAAUUGUUGAAAGGGAAGGGCAUUUGAUCAGACAUGGUGUUUUGUGCCCUCUGCUCCUUGUGGGUAGGGGAAUCUCGCAUUUCACUGGGCCAGCAUCAGUUUUGGUGGCAGGAUAAAUCCAUAGGAAUGUAGCUUGCCUCGGUAAGUAUUAUAGCCUGUGGGAAUACUGGCCGCUGGGAAUGAAGAAUGCCACCUAAGUCCAGGAAGCUGGCAUAAUGGUUAUAUGCCCCCCGUCCUGGAAACCCGAAACAA